GUGGGCCCUCGAAAUCCUCUGGCGGGGGGAUUCAGUUAGGAAAGGCGGAGGUGUGGUUCGGUCGAUUCCAACGGACCCUACCCGGGGCCGGGCCGACUACACGGUCUCCGUUUUACCUGACGCAUUUCCUCCCGCACUAAGGACGCCGCAGCCGGUUGGGUAGCUGCGUGAGUCGGCCAUGAGGACGGGUGCCGGCAGGUGGCCGGUGGCGUUGCUUCGGCUUCGCCGCCGGUUGUUAGCCAAUCCGUCCGUGGCGCGACACCCGACCGAGGUUGAAUGGUUCCCGUAUGGGAACUCGCCGUCCCCUGUCUCCUUCCGGGGAGGCAGUGGGUGCUCUGGCAGGCGUAUCGCGGUGUUGCCACGUCACUCUUCGUAGUGUCCGGUGCUCCGAGGUCGCUGUUGGCUGGAAGCGUCCCGCGGGGGUGCAGGCGGCUAGCGGCGAGUAGGUCGGUCACCCACCCGACCCGUCUUGAAACACGGACCAAGGAGUCUAACAUGUGCGCGAGUCACGGGGUCUUGAUUAGGCCCAGAGGCGCAAUGAAAGUGAAUGUCGACCUCGACGUCGGCUGUGUUGGGAUUUUCCGUCCCUCGGGACGGGGAAGCACCAACGACCCGUCCUAUCCGAUUUAUCGGUUGGGCGGAGUCUGAGCGUACACGUUGGGACCCGAAAGAUGGUGAACUAUGCCUGGGCAGGACGAAGCCAGAGGAAACUCUGGUGGAGGUCCGUAGCGGUUCUGACGUGCAAAUCGAUCGUCAGACCCGGGUAUAGG
This 770-nucleotide ribosomal RNA is filed under the name Harpactea sp. MD586. Its description in RNAcentral is "partial large subunit ribosomal RNA". The stretch from base 369 to 770 matches the Rfam family "Eukaryotic large subunit ribosomal RNA", at positions 1 to 921 of the family's 3401-position model. Lineage: Eukaryota; Metazoa; Arthropoda; Arachnida; Araneae; Dysderidae. The record is from RNAcentral.